GGCUGAUUGGAUGAAGCUUCAGUGUGUUGUAUUGUAUGUCUUUAAGGAUGUUUUUAUUUGAGUCAUUUUGUGGUUUAUUUUAUUUUCCAUCUAUUUAUGUUGUUUAUUGUUUUAUUUAGUUAAUUUUGUUUCACUUAUUGGCUAUUUCUGUCUCAUUUAACAUCUCUGUAUUUCAUUUUGGCCUAUUCAUGUUUCAUUCUGCUAAUUUACCUCUUGAUUUUUUUUGUCCAUUUUAAUAAUUUUGUGGCUCAUAUUUGGCCAUUUCGCACCUCUUAAUUACCUUUUUUGUUCUACUUUGUUACUUUUGUUGUAUAUUUUGUUUAUUUUUUAUCCCAUUUUGAUCAUUUUGUGUUUAAUUUUGGCCAUGUUGUUUCUCAGUUUGAUCCUUUUCUAUCUUUUCAUGUUGUUUUUAGUUCCAUUUUGGUCAUUUUGCAUGUGUUCAUGGAUUCUAAUUUUCCAUGUUGGACAUUUUACCCACUUCAGUCAUUUUAUAUGGUUUUAUGUGAUUGUUCUUGUCCCAUAUGGGUGAUUUUGUGCCUCCCUGUGUCUCCACACUUGUGGAAACAAAUCUCACAAACAAAUCAAGCACUUGUCCUGUAACUUUGUCCUGUGAGAGACCAUCAGCGACCCUUUAGAGGGCUGCAGUCAGCGAGGAGAGAAGAGGAAAGCUGCUGAUGCUGCUGAAGCUCCAACUAAAAAGAGGAGUCUUCAACUGGUGGAGGACAGAGUAGAGCUGUCAGAAGAGGAACAAAGAGGUCAGCAGGAAUAGAUGUGGUGGAAAAAUGAAGAUUUGUGUCAUUUAUAUCCCUCACAGUUGUAGUAAAACUAAAUCUGUGUCUGUUCAGCCCAAUUCGACAGCAAAUACGAGCAGCAGCAUCAGCUCAGAGAAGGAGGUUGUGGGUCCGUGUUCGCCGGCCGCCGCAAAUCAGACAGUUUGCUGGACUUUGUCACUUGGAUUUUGAAAACUGCCCCAUUCAUAAAUGAAGAGAAUUAUUCUUGUAUUGUUCUGGGAGUUGGUGAUGCUGGGAUACUGAAGGAGACUGAUGUGGACGUCAGGAGGCUGAGCUCUGAUUCCAUUAAAAGGAUCAACUACAGAAGAACCCCGCAGAGUUUAGUUCCAAACAAAUGAUCUCCAGUCCAAGUUGAAGACAUAAAGUGUGAUCUGGAGGGAAGUUGUCAGUGUGAAUGUGUCGGUUCCCUAGUUAACUCACCUGGUUACGUCUCCAUCCUGAUGCUGCUCUGCUGGACCAGAGCUUCUGGACCAGCCGGGUGGACCUUCCUUCACUGAUCUUCCCAGUGGGAGUGAUUCUCAGUUUGCCUUGGUUGACUGCAAACUCCCUAAAAUGGACACUUGAGAGGAGAUUGUGGACAAAUCUAUACAACAGCUUGUUUAGUUUGUCCUGUUCUUAAAUCAGUAGAAAACUGUUGAGAGUGUUGCUCUAACUCCAUGUGUAUAAAAGCUCCUCCUACUGACCAAUCAGUUCUCUUGAAAACUGUCAUCAGCAUUAGAAGAUCCAGUGGAGCUCAGAGCACCGAUAGAGGGAGAGGAAGAUCGGAGUUUUUAGAGCUGCAAGCAAAGUCAUUUCAUUGUUCUACCUCCUUUGUAUUACAAUACGAUUUAUGAUUCUAGAUUGUUCCUGUGAGAAAUAUUUGAAGUUGUAUCCACUGACCUGUAGUGUUCCAUACCACAUGAGAGUCAGCUUACUUAUCGCUUUGAAUCAUAGUUUGAUGUCUUGCAGCCAGAAGAAUACAGCUGAGAACAUGUUCAUUAAACACAACAUCCAGUUGGAAUUAGAGUCUGAUCUACUUGUGAGGUGAUAAUUUGGUAGUAAUAUUGUUAAUCCUGUUAACUUUCACACAGUCUGCAGUUUUUGCAGCUUUCCCUCCUUCAGCUGCUGCAGCUGUGUUACUGUCAGUCUGUGUUUGGAGUUUAUAAUCUUUGUGUUUCUCUAAUAUCAUCGUUUGCUCUUCAUUUGUAAAACAGGACACUUUGGCUCCAGUAUUGUAACGGUCCUGAUGAUACUGGGACUAAAUAUGUCGUCUACAUGGAUCAUCUGCUUUUAAAAUGACGCAGCAGCAAACAUCACAAGAAAAAGUCACUCAGAGAGAAUCUUGAACUAAUUCACUUUAAAACCAGCAGCAGCAUCUGUUGAAGCCUCAGAUUAAAACUUGAAGCUUUUAAAGUCUGGAAUCAUUAUUUGAUGUCAACUCCAACAUGAAGGAGUGCAGAGACAACACAGAAUAAACCUACUUUAGUUUGUAUUUGGUUGAAUAAAGCACCAGAAAUGACUCA
Long non-coding RNA from Amphiprion ocellaris (clown anemonefish), 2293 nucleotides. RefSeq lists it as uncharacterized. The record is from RefSeq and is a predicted model, not a curated record. The transcript has 2 exons. Lineage: Eukaryota; Metazoa; Chordata; Actinopteri; Pomacentridae.